CCAGAGUGUCCAUCCCAAUGGUCCGCAUACUGGCCACAGUCCUGGUGCUGCUGAGCCUUCUGUCAGCCUCAGGCCUGAUGGCCUUCAGCAGCCACCUGCUCCUGUGGAGAAAGGAAGCUCGACAGGCCAUGGAGACACAGAGGAACGAGAAGGUCUACCUCUCACACUUGAACUCCCUGAUGUUUUCUCUGAGUCUUCCUUGGCUCUGAGACCAAGGUGACAUGGCUGCCCUAGGACUCAGGCUGAGGGUGGUGCUCUGGGGACCAGGGACAAGAGAAUAAGGGUCCCUGUGCCCAUUGUCUGGAGCAGGGAACCUGCCCCAAGGCUACUGCUGCAAGAAGAGACUGUGCCCUCCGAGGCCAGCACUCCAAUGGAGGGGGCUGCAGCAUCACACUUUAGGAAACAGAAGCCUCCCCUGGCCCCUCCUCCCUCCGCUGUUUACUGAGAUGCCUCCACUCCAUUCCUUUAAACACAAGGACAGGAAAGCGGGGCUACCACUACCUUCUUUCCUGGCGCCAGUGAGGACAAAAGACUCAGGCCUGGUUCCCCCAAGGAUGGUCUGGGGUGGAAAUGGGACUUUGGGCUGUGGCUUAGGAAGCAGCUGUGGUUGUGUCA
Piliocolobus tephrosceles (Ugandan red Colobus) is the source of this 615-nucleotide long non-coding RNA. RefSeq lists it as uncharacterized. The transcript has 3 exons. Lineage: Eukaryota; Metazoa; Chordata; Mammalia; Primates; Cercopithecidae. The record is from RefSeq and is a predicted model, not a curated record.